This 231-nucleotide unclassified non-coding RNA is filed under the name Hygrocybe nigrescens. RNAcentral describes it as "partial internal transcribed spacer 2". Lineage: Eukaryota; Fungi; Basidiomycota; Agaricomycetes; Agaricales; Hygrophoraceae. The record is from RNAcentral.
AAACCCUCAAGAGGGGAAGCUUUUUGUGGCUUCUUCUUUUGGAAUUGGAGCGUGCUGGCCUUUUUAGAAGCCCAGCUCCUCUGAAAUGCAUUAGCGAUGUGACAUCCUCGUGCCAUCACGCUUCUCCAGCAUUGAUAAGUCUCUUUCAUGCUCGAGUGUGUUGUGCUUAGGUGGAAAGUUUUGCUCGCUCACAGACCCCAUUGGGGGCUUUGCUCCCCCAUGCUUUGACCA